CUAGCCUGCUAAAUAGUACACCGGUAAAUCGUGUUCGUACGGAAUGCAAUGUUGAUUAUGUGCGAUGUUGUCAAUAAUGGCAAUGCAUUAUAAUGUACUGUUAUUGUUGGUGAUGUCUGUGCAGUUUGGCAUGGCUUUCUGACGAACACUAAGCAGGUGAAACUUCUUAGAGGGACAAGUUGAACUUAAAACAGCACGAAAUUGAGCAAUAACAGGUCUGUGAUSCCCUUAGAUGUCCGGGGCCGUACGCGCGCUACAAUGACAGUACCAGUGUGUAUGAUGACCUUGCCUGAAAAGGUUGGGCAAACCGUUCCAUUACUGUCGUGACAGGGAUCGGGGUUUGUAAUUAUCCCCCGUGAACGAGGAAUUCCCAGUAAGUGCAAGUCAUAAGCUUGUGCUGAUUACGUCCCUGCCCUUUGUACACACCGCCCGUCGCUACUACCGAUUGAAUGGUUUGGCAAGGCCCUCAGAUUGGCACCAUUGUAGUAUUUCGUUUCCACAAUUUAGUGGUACGUUUGCUCGACAGGUACUGAGAAGAGGACCAAACUUGAUCAUUUAGAGGAAGUAAAAGUCGUAACAAGGUUUCCGUAGUGAACCUGCGGAAGGAUCAUUA
Molecule: ribosomal RNA, 613 nt
Filed under: Polystoma occipitalis
Lineage: Eukaryota; Metazoa; Platyhelminthes; Monogenea; Polystomatidea; Polystomatidae
Description: bacterial SSU rRNA
Rfam family: Eukaryotic small subunit ribosomal RNA
Source: RNAcentral